AGAGUUUGAUCCUGGCUCAGGAUGAGCGCUAGCGGCAGGCUUAAUACAUGCAAGUCGUGGGGCAGCACAGGUAGCAAUACUGGGUGGCGACCGGCAAACGGGUGCGGAACACGUACGCAACCUUCCUUUAAGUGGGGGAUAGCCCAGGGAAACUUGGAUUAAUACCCCUUAACAUUAUGAGAUGGCAUCAUUUUAUAAUUAAAGCUCCGGCGCUUAAAGAUGGGCGUGCGCCUGAUUAGGUAGUUGGCGGGGUAACAGCCCACCAAGCCUACGAUCAGUAACUGGUGUGAGAGCACGACCAGUCACACGGGCACUGAGACACGGGCCCGACUCCUACGGGAGGCAGCAGUAAGGAAUAUUGGUCAAUGGACGCAAGUCUGAACCAGCCAUGCCGCGUGGAGGAUGACGGCCCUCUGGGUUGUAAACUCCUUUUAUCUGGGAAGAAAUGCAGAUAUUCUUAUCUGUUUGACGGUACCAGAGGAAUAAGCACCGGCUAACUCCGUGCCAGCAGCCGCGGUAAUACGGAGGGUGCAAGCGUUAUCCGGAUUCACUGGGUUUAAAGGGUGCGUAGGUGGAGUGGUAAGUCAGUGGUGAAAUCUCCAAGCUUAACUUGGAAACUGCCGUUGAUACUAUCAUUCUUGAAUAUCGUGGAGGUAAGCGGAAUAUGUCAUGUAGCGGUGAAAUGCUUAGAUAUGACAUAGAACACCGAUUGCGAAGGCAGCUUGCUACACGAUCAUUGACACUGAGGCACGAAAGCGUGGGGAUCAAACAGGAUUAGAUACCCUAGUAGUCC
Molecule: ribosomal RNA, 793 nt
Filed under: uncultured bacterium
Lineage: Bacteria
Description: bacterial SSU rRNA
Rfam family: Bacterial small subunit ribosomal RNA
Source: RNAcentral